GUUUUAAUAAUUUAAUAAAAAUAUUGAUUUUGUAAAUCAAAAAUAAGAAAGUAUCUUUUAAAACU
This 65-nucleotide transfer RNA is filed under the name Leptocimbex yanniae. RNAcentral describes it as "tRNA-Thr". The record is from RNAcentral. Lineage: Eukaryota; Metazoa; Arthropoda; Insecta; Hymenoptera; Cimbicidae.